This 208-nucleotide ribosomal RNA is filed under the name uncultured bacterium. RNAcentral describes it as "partial 16S ribosomal RNA". It matches the Rfam family "Bacterial small subunit ribosomal RNA", at positions 568 to 774 of the family's 1533-position model. The record is from RNAcentral.
CGUGCAGCCGGGUCUGCAAGUCAGAUGUGAAAUCCAUGGGCUCAACCCAUGAACUGCAUUUGAAACUGUAGAUCUUGAGUGUCGGAGGGGCAAUCGGAAUUCCUAGUGUAGCGGUGAAAUGCGUAGAUAUUAGGAGGAACAUCAGUGGCGAAGGCGGCUUACUGGACUGAAACUGACACUGAGGCACGAAAGCGGUGGGGAGCAAACA